Non-coding RNA from Lepisosteus oculatus (spotted gar), 1104 nucleotides. Lineage: Eukaryota; Metazoa; Chordata; Actinopteri; Semionotiformes; Lepisosteidae. The record is from RefSeq and is a predicted model, not a curated record.
AUUUUUUUUAUUUUCUGCACUUUGUUGUUAAAGGAUAUUCAGAAGCAAGUGGAACUGAUAGCUACAAAGCUCAACUCCUCCUCAGCUGGUGGUCCUGUGUAUGGUAUUCAAAACCGGUACAUUGCACAUUUUACAGCUUCGUCUGCCAUGGGGUACACUGGGGGAGUCCUAACCUUUGAGCAAUCAGUUGGCUUGGCCUUCAGCACAAAGCUUAUGGCUGAUGGGAACAACCGUCCAGACAAGACGAACCUGACAGUCCCUCAAGAUGGUAUUUACUUUGUAUACAGCCAGGUCACGAUCAAAAACAGCUCCAGCUCUGUCCAGGUGUGCAUCAGAAAGGACAGCAAGAGCUACAGAGAUACCGUGACGCUCAUGAAAGCCAGAUCCGGCUCGGACAGAGGGGAUUCCAUUUUCCAGGCAGGGAUCUUUGAGCUCCUUGCUGAGGACAAGCUUUAUGUGGAGCUCCAAGGCUACAAGUUGGACACAGUGUCAGUGUCCAAAGAAGAAGCUGAAACUUUCUUUGGAGUGUUUCAACUGCAAGGCGCAGAUGAAGAAUAAUGUGGCACCUCAGCUACCCCAUGAAAUUUCCAAGGCCACAAGACUCCUUUCAGCCCUCAGAGUCAGAACUGACUCAUCUCUGCUACCACAAACAGUUCUCAGUUCCUUUCUCGUUUGUUUUUGUGUUUCACUUUUUAAAAGUAAGAAAUUCUUAUCGUUGGACGUACUUUGAAUUUCCUUCGCCUGUUUUCCCUUUGAAUUUCGGAUGUAUUCCCCUUGCACUUUGAAUAUUUGGCAGAAUUUUGUGAAGAAAAACAUCAUGUUUUUCCACAUAUUGUUUCUUUCUAGCUGCUAUUUAAUUGGAAAUGCAGACAUCGAUGUACCUCAUUCAAAUUUGUAUGUAAAACUGUAUGUUGAAUAACCACAUAGCUCUUAGUUUAAUUUGUUGUUUAACCAGUGUGGAAAAUCAUUCGAAUUUAAAACUCUUUAAGGUCUGGGCCGUCUUUGACUGCAGAGUGUUAUAAAAUGGUGGCAAAGGUACUUAACACAUUUGUGGGCACAAACUGUUUUGUGAAAAGUGAAAAAAAUCUCUUAAAAUAAACCUAU